UACGUAGGGUGCGAGCGUUGUCCGGAAUUAUUGGGCGUAAAGAGCUCGUAGGCGGUGUGUCGCGUCGGCCGUGAAAACUUGGGGCUUAACUCUGAGCGUGCGGUCGAUACGGGCAUCACUUGAGUUCGGCAGGGGAGACUGGAAUUCCUGGUGUAGCGGUGAAAUGCGCAGAUAUCAGGAGGAACACCGGUGGCGAAGGCGGGUCUCUGGGCCGAUACUGACGCUGAGGAGCGAAAGCAUGGGGAGCGAACAGG
Molecule: ribosomal RNA, 254 nt
Filed under: uncultured bacterium
Lineage: Bacteria
Description: partial 16S ribosomal RNA
Rfam family: Bacterial small subunit ribosomal RNA
Source: RNAcentral